AGCUAUAUGGCAACCAAGAGCCAGGAUCCUUCAACCGAGUUGCACAGCAAGGAAUGAAAGGGAAUAGAGCAGGGAGAGGAGGCAGGGGAAGACCUUCUGGCAGAGAGAGUCAACAGGGUGGAAUUCCAUUGCCAAUGAUAGGAUCACCUUUUGGACCUCUAGGAAUUCCUCCGCCAGGACCAAUGCAGCCACUCACUCCUGGCAUGUCACCUGGUCCAGGCCCACCAGUGUCUCCAGG
This 238-nucleotide unclassified non-coding RNA is filed under the name Hevea brasiliensis (rubber tree). Lineage: Eukaryota; Viridiplantae; Streptophyta; Magnoliopsida; Malpighiales; Euphorbiaceae. The record is from RNAcentral.